This 479-nucleotide ribosomal RNA is filed under the name uncultured bacterium. RNAcentral's name for it is "SSU rRNA". It matches the Rfam family "Bacterial small subunit ribosomal RNA", at positions 26 to 518 of the family's 1533-position model. The record is from RNAcentral.
AGGACAAACGCUGGCGGGGUGCAUGAGACAUGCAAGUCGAACGAGGUGCUAUCGGGCUUGCUCGAUGGUUACCGAGUGGCGAACGGCUGAGUAACGCGUAGAUGACCUGCCCGGAAGUGGGGAAUAACUGCCCGAAAGGGUGGCUAAUACCGCAUGUGGUCGACGAUUCGGUUCGUCGUCUAAAGGAGUAAUCCGCUUCCGGAGGGGUCUGCGUCCGAUUAGCUAGUUGGUGGGGUAACGGCUCACCAAGGCGACGAUCGGUAGCUGGUCUGAGAGGAUGAUCAGCCAGACUGGGGACUGAGAACGGCCCAGACUCCUACGGGAGGCAGCAGUCGGGAAUUUUGCCCAAUGGACGAAAGUCUGAGGCAGCAACUCCGCGUGAGGGAUGAAGGCUCUAGGGUCGUAAACCUCUUUUCUCAGGGAAGAUCCAAGACGGUACCUGAGGAAUAAGCGACGGCUAACUACGUGCCAGCAGCCGC